RNAcentral lists this transfer RNA (73 nucleotides) under Capsosiphon fulvescens. Its description in RNAcentral is "tRNA-Arg". It matches the Rfam family "tRNA". From Rfam's summary of the family: Transfer RNA (tRNA) molecules are approximately 80 nucleotides in length. Their secondary structure includes four short double-helical elements and three loops (D, anti-codon, and T loops). Lineage: Eukaryota; Viridiplantae; Chlorophyta; Ulvophyceae; Ulotrichales; Ulotrichaceae. The record is from RNAcentral.
GAGCUUAUAGUUUAGUGGAUAAAAUAUAUGUUUCCGACACAUAAGAUCAUGGGUUCAAGUCCCAUUAAGCUCU